Molecule: ribosomal RNA, 428 nt
Filed under: uncultured bacterium
Lineage: Bacteria
Description: bacterial SSU rRNA
Rfam family: Bacterial small subunit ribosomal RNA
Source: RNAcentral
UGGGGAAUUUUGGACAAUGGGGGGAACCCUGAUCCAGCCAUGCCGCGUGAGUGAAGAAGGCCUUCGGGUUGUAAAGCUCUUUUGGCCGGAAAGAAAAGGCCACGGAUAACACCCGUGGUUCUUGACGGUACCGGCAGAAUAAGCACCGGCUAACUACGUGCCAGCAGCCGCGGUAAUACGUAGGGUGCGAGCGUUAAUCGGAUUUACUGGGCGUAAAGCGUGCGUAGGCGGUCCCCCAAGUCCGCUGUGAAAGCCCCGGGCUUAACCUGGGAAUGGCAGUGGAAACUAUGGGACUUGAAUCUGGCAGAGGGGGGUGGAAUGCCACGUGUAGCAGUGAAAUGCGUAGAGAUGUGGCGGAACACCGAUGGCGAAGGCAGCCCCCUGGGCUGAGAUUGACGCUCAGGCACGAAAGCGUGGGGAGCAAACAG